Molecule: ribosomal RNA, 629 nt
Filed under: Vibrio parahaemolyticus
Lineage: Bacteria; Pseudomonadati; Pseudomonadota; Gammaproteobacteria; Vibrionales; Vibrionaceae
Description: bacterial SSU rRNA
Rfam family: Bacterial small subunit ribosomal RNA
Source: RNAcentral
GGGGGCCCGCACAAGCGGUGGAGCAUGUGGUUUAAUUCGAUGCAACGCGAAGAACCUUACCUACUCUUGACAUCCAGAGAACUUUCCAGAGAUGGAUUGGUGCCUUCGGGAACUCUGAGACAGGUGCUGCAUGGCUGUCGUCAGCUCGUGUUGUGAAAUGUUGGGUUAAGUCCCGCAACGAGCGCAACCCUUAUCCUUGUUUGCCAGCGAGUAAUGUCGGGAACUCCAGGGAGACUGCCGGUGAUAAACCGGAGGAAGGUGGGGACGACGUCAAGUCAUCAUGGCCCUUACGAGUAGGGCUACACACGUGCUACAAUGGCGCAUACAGAGGGCAGCCAACUUGCGAAAGUGAGCGAAUCCCAAAAAGUGCGUCGUAGUCCGGAUUGGAGUCUGCAACUCGACUCCAUGAAGUCGGAAUCGCUAGUAAUCGUGGAUCAGAAUGCCACGGUGAAUACGUUCCCGGGCCUUGUACACACCGCCCGUCACACCAUGGGAGUGGGCUGCAAAAGAAGUAGGUAGUUUAACCUUCGGGGGGGACGCUUACCACUUUGUGGUUCAUGACUGGGGUGAAGUCGUAACAAGGUAGCGCUAGGGGAACCUGGCGCUGGAUCACCUCCUUAAACGAUGAU